Molecule: transfer RNA, 81 nt
Filed under: Neurospora tetrasperma FGSC 2508
Lineage: Eukaryota; Fungi; Ascomycota; Sordariomycetes; Sordariales; Sordariaceae
Also listed under: 1 other name
Description: tRNA-Leu (GAG) (tRNA-Leu-GAG-1-1)
Source: RNAcentral
GCACGGUCAGCGCAGUGGUCUAGCGCGCCACUUGGAUUGAGAUUCCGGUCGAAAACCCGGGCUCGAAUCACAGACCGUGCA